UUAAUUUCUUUUUUUUUUCUUUUUUUUAAUAUCUGCCAAAAGCCCAAAUUCAAAUCAAACCAUUAUAUAUAAAUGUUCAUUUUUUCUAUUUUUAUUACAUCAACUUUCUCUUCUCCUCUAACCUCUUACACACUAUAUAUCUUUUAAUCUUUUGUGCUCUGAAAUUUUCAAUUAUUCUUGAGAUUGGCAAGUUGGCAUUGAGUUUGGAUACAAGAAACAAAUCAUUAUAGUCUCAUAGAGAUAGAGGUUCUCUAUCUACAAUAUUCCAAGAGAGGAAACUUCAAAAUUCAAAGAAAAGAUUCAAGAGAGAAUACUUAUUUUUAUUUGCAAUAAUUCAAGGUUUUAUGAUUUGAAGAUUGUUCGUUGAGGAAAACGUGAAGAAGAAAAGUCACUUGUGUUGGAUGAAUAGAUCUACAUAUUUGAAUAAUGUUGCUUAAGUUUUUUUUUUUUUUAAAUUACAUUUAGAAUUUUGAUAUUUGAAUAUUUUUAAUUAUGUUUAAAGUUUAAAUGUUUAUUGAAUUUUUCUUAGAAAAAAAAGGCCCCAUUUUGAAAUUUUGCCCUAGGCCCCUAAUAGGCUUGAGACG
Long non-coding RNA from Humulus lupulus (European hop), 584 nucleotides. RefSeq lists it as uncharacterized. The transcript is spliced from 3 exons. NCBI's taxonomy places the organism in Eukaryota, Viridiplantae, Streptophyta, Magnoliopsida, Rosales, Cannabaceae. The record is from RefSeq and is a predicted model, not a curated record.